This 421-nucleotide unclassified non-coding RNA is filed under the name uncultured Sebacina. RNAcentral's name for it is "sequence contains ITS2". The stretch from base 1 to 154 matches the Rfam family "5.8S ribosomal RNA". The record is from RNAcentral. Lineage: Eukaryota; Fungi; Basidiomycota; Agaricomycetes; Sebacinales; Sebacinaceae.
AACUUUCAACAACGGAUCUCUUGGCUCUCGCAUCGAUGAAGAACGCAGCGAAAUGCGAUAAGUAAUGUGAAUUGCAGAAUUCAGUGAAUCCUCGAAUCUUUGAACGCACCUUGCACCCUUUGGCAUUCUGAAGGGUAUGCUCGUUUGAGUGUCAUUGUACUCGCACACUCCCGAUCUUUGUAUUGGGAGCGGUGGACUUGGGUUUGCUGCUUCACCGCAGCUUACCUCAAAUACGUUAGUGCAACUCUUGGUUGGACAUAAUACGGCGUGAUAAGUGUUCUUUUCGCCGGUGCCUCGCAAAGAGGGUGGCCGAUCGGGUGGUUGUGCUCCAAACCGUCCGUCUUUGGACAAUGUCUGACAACUUGACCUCAAAUCGAGUAAGACUACCCGCUGAACUUAAGCAUAUCAAUAAGCGGAGGCU